UAACGGCGAGUGAAGCGGCAAAAGCUCAAAUUUGAAAUCUGGUACCUUCGGUGCCCGAGUUGUAAUUUGGAGAGGGCAACUUUGGGGCCGUUCCUUGUCUAUGUUCCUUGGAACAGGACGUCAUAGAGGGUGAGAAUCCCGUGUGGCGAGGAGUGCGGUUCUUUGUAAAGUGCCUUCGAAGAGUCGAGUUGUUUGGGAAUGCAGCUCUAAGUGGGUGGUAAAUUCCAUCUAAAGCUAAAUAUUGGCGAGAGACCGAUAGCGAACAAGUACAGUGAUGGAAAGAUGAAAAGAACUUUGAAAAGAGAGUGAAAAAGUACGUGAAAUUGUUGAAAGGGAAGGGCAUUUGAUCAGACAUGGUGUUUUGUGCCCUCUGCUCCUUGUGGGUAGGGGAAUCUCGCAUUUCACUGGGCCAGCAUCAGUUUUGGUGGCAGGAUAAAUCCAUAGGAAUGUAGCUUGCCUCGGUAAGUAUUAUAGCCUGUGGGAAUACUGCCAGCUGGGACUGAGGACUGCGACGUAAGUCAAGGAUGCUGGCAUAAUGGUUAUAUGCCGCCCGUCUUGAAACACGGAC
Molecule: ribosomal RNA, 568 nt
Filed under: Saccharomyces cerevisiae (brewer's yeast)
Lineage: Eukaryota; Fungi; Ascomycota; Saccharomycetes; Saccharomycetales; Saccharomycetaceae
Description: partial large subunit ribosomal RNA
Rfam family: Eukaryotic large subunit ribosomal RNA
Source: RNAcentral